GACGAACGCUGGCGGCGUGCCUAAUACAUGCAAGUCGAGCGGAUGACGGAGGAGCUUGCUCCUCCUGAUUCAGCGGCGGACGGGUGAGUAACGCGUAGACAACCUACCCUUUAGAUGAGGACAACAGAGCGAAAGAUCUGCUAAUACCGAAUGUUGCUUGAGAAGCGCAUGCUUCUCAAACUAAAGAUGGCCUCUAUAUAUAAGCUAUAGUUUAGAGAUGGGUCUGCGUCUGAUUAGCUAGUUGGUGAGGUAAAGGCUCACCAAGGCGACGAUCAGUAGCCGGUCUGAGAGGAUGAACGGCCACACUGGGACUGAGACACGGCCCAGACUCCUACGGGAGGCAGCAGUGGGGAAUCUUCCGCAAUGGACGAAAGUCUGACGGAGCAACGCCGCGUGAGUGAAGAAGGCCUUCGGGUCGUAAAGCUCUGUCGUUUGGGACGAACGUGCUUUGUGUGAAUAAUGCAAAGUAAUGACGGUACCAAAGGAGGAAGCCACGGCUAACUACGUGCCAGCCGCCGCAGUAA
RNAcentral lists this ribosomal RNA (524 nucleotides) under uncultured bacterium. Its description in RNAcentral is "partial 16S ribosomal RNA". It matches the Rfam family "Bacterial small subunit ribosomal RNA", at positions 28 to 523 of the family's 1533-position model. The record is from RNAcentral.